This is a long non-coding RNA of Oncorhynchus tshawytscha (Chinook salmon), 1235 nucleotides long. RefSeq lists it as uncharacterized. The record is from RefSeq and is a predicted model, not a curated record. NCBI's taxonomy places the organism in Eukaryota, Metazoa, Chordata, Actinopteri, Salmoniformes, Salmonidae. The transcript has 4 exons.
GGUUGUGGUGGCUGGUUGUUUUCCCUAUCUCUCAGCCUUCCCAGGCAGUGCACUACAUCCAGAGAACCAGCAACAACAUUUCGCUCCUCCUCCGCGACUAUUGCCCUGCAAAUGUCCUUCACUCUUGCUUUGAUGUUGUCGUCAGAUUUUUCUGCUAUUGUAUAAAUUCGAAGAUUCCACCUCCGACCAUACCGGUCCUUCUUGUUUACAUUUGACUCCAUUUCAAUUUUAACCGUGAGGAUACGGACGAUGUUGUCCUGUAGCUGGCUCAGUGAUGGUUCACUUCUCAGCUUCUUUGGAAGUUGCUCUUUGGUUGGGGUAUUCAGUGUGACAGGCUAGCUGCAGACACAGCCAUUGAGCUGAGGAGAAGGGGAGUGGCCUCUGUCAGUCUAUGACCUUGAGUAGUUCAGACAAGAGUUGGUGUCUCAACUCAUCAUCGUUGAGAAGGAUUCUCCACCAGGUAUUGAUCCUAAGAGAUGUAUUUGCCAAUGAAGACACCACAGAGCUGAGUGGGAAGUGCAUUGUGGAGCUGGCGAAAGGUACAUUAUAUUUACAUUAUACUACAGCAUGUACAUGGUCAUGCACCGUUAUACACUCAGUGGCUAGUUUAUUAGGUACACCACCCCAUUCACAAAAAUGGUUAGCUCCUACAGACAGUUAGUCACGUGGUCGUGGCUUGCUAUAUAAAGAAGGCAGACAAGCAUGAAGGCAUUCAGUUACUGUUCGAUUAAACAUUAGCAACAUUAGCAACUUUGAGCAUGGUAUGAUCAUCAGGUCAGGCGCGCUGGUCCUAGCAUCUCAGAAAAAGCCGGCCUCCUGGACUUUUCACGCACAACAGUGUCUAGGGUUUACUGAGAAUGGUGCCACAAACCAAAAACAUCCUCUGUCCUCUGCCAGGACCUAGGAUCAAGGGAGACACUCAAGUGUUUUAGUACUAUAUCUCUUGACACAAUGAUGAAAGUAAUCAUGGCCUCUAAACCUUCAAGCUGCAUACGGGACCCUAUUCCAACUAAACUACUGAAAGAGUUGCUUCCUGUGUUUGGCCCUCCUAUGUUGAACAUAAUAAACGUCUCUCUAUCCACCGGAUGUGUAACAAACUCACUAAAAGCGGCAGUAAUUUUUAAUUUAGAUUUAAUUUUACCUUUAUUUUACUAGGCAAGUCAGUUAAGAACAAAUUCUUAUUUUCAAUGACGGCCUAGGAACAGUGGGUUAACUGCCUUGUUCAGGGGCAGAAC